RNAcentral lists this long non-coding RNA (226 nucleotides) under Olea europaea (common olive). Its description in RNAcentral is "long non-coding RNA (OEUR_LNC006475)". Lineage: Eukaryota; Viridiplantae; Streptophyta; Magnoliopsida; Lamiales; Oleaceae. The record is from RNAcentral.
UGGGCUUUUCACUUAUGCAAUAGUUUACAUCGUUAUUUUAUAGCGUUUUCGUCGAAAAAUCAUGUGAUAUAUCAACUAGAACACAUUACCUUAACAUUUGAAGUAACAAAGGCAUUUCAUAGUUCAACAUAUCCACUCACGUCACUACCUUCGUCCCUAUGUUUUCUAAUGCAAACGACCUCCGAUUAGGGUGAAAUUUGGAUAUAUGCUAGAUAUCAAUAUGUAC